This 180-nucleotide ribosomal RNA is filed under the name uncultured Fusarium. RNAcentral's name for it is "partial large subunit ribosomal RNA". It matches the Rfam family "Eukaryotic large subunit ribosomal RNA", at positions 40 to 223 of the family's 3401-position model. The record is from RNAcentral. Lineage: Eukaryota; Fungi; Ascomycota; Sordariomycetes; Hypocreales; Nectriaceae.
AUAUCAAUAAGCGGAGGAAAAGAAACCAACAGGGAUUGCCCUAGUAACGGCGAGUGAAGCGGCAGCAGCUCAAAUUUGAAGUCUGGCUUCGGCCCGAGUUGUAAUUUGUAGAGGAUGCUUUUGGUGCGGUGCCUUCUGAGUUCCCUGGAACGGGACGCCAUAGGAGGGUGAGACCGCCCG